This 30-nucleotide non-coding RNA is filed under the name Homo sapiens (human). Lineage: Eukaryota; Metazoa; Chordata; Mammalia; Primates; Hominidae. The record is from RNAcentral.
UCCCACAUCAAUCACAGGGUGGGGCCAGGA